Molecule: transfer RNA, 91 nt
Filed under: Piscirickettsiaceae bacterium NZ-RLO2
Lineage: Bacteria; Pseudomonadati; Pseudomonadota; Gammaproteobacteria; Thiotrichales; Piscirickettsiaceae
Description: tRNA-Ser
Rfam family: tRNA
About the family: Transfer RNA (tRNA) molecules are approximately 80 nucleotides in length. Their secondary structure includes four short double-helical elements and three loops (D, anti-codon, and T loops).
Source: RNAcentral
GGAGGGAUGGCAGAGCGGUUGAAUGCACCGGUCUUGAAAACCGGCAAGGGUUAAUAGCCCUUCCAGGGUUCGAAUCCCUGUCCCUCCGCCG